GAUGAACGCUGGCGGCGUGCCUAAUACAUGCAAGUAGAACGCUGAAGGAGGAGCUUGCUCUUCUGGAUGAGUUGCGAACGGGUGAGUAACGCGUAGGUAACCUGCCUGGUAGCGGGGGAUAACUAUUGGAAACGAUAGCUAAUACCGCAUGACAACAGUUAUUGCAUGAUAACUGUUUAAAAGGGGCAACUGCUCCACUACCAGAUGGACCUGCGUUGUAUUAGCUAGUUGGUGAGGUAACGGCUCACCAAGGCGACGAUACAUAGCCGACCUGAGAGGGUGAUCGGCCACACUGGGAACGGGACAAGGCCCAGACUCCUACGGGAGGCAGCAGUAGGGAAUCAUCGGCAAUGGACGGAAGUCUGAACGAGCAACGCCGCGGGAGUGAAGAAGGUUUUCGGAUCGUAAAGCUCUGUUGUAAGAGAAGAACGAGUGGGAGAGUGGAAAGUUCACACUGUGACGGUACCUUACCAGAAAGGGACGGCUAACUACGUG
This 495-nucleotide ribosomal RNA is filed under the name uncultured bacterium. RNAcentral describes it as "partial 16S ribosomal RNA". It matches the Rfam family "Bacterial small subunit ribosomal RNA", at positions 28 to 507 of the family's 1533-position model. The record is from RNAcentral.